This 458-nucleotide ribosomal RNA is filed under the name uncultured bacterium. RNAcentral describes it as "bacterial SSU rRNA". It matches the Rfam family "Bacterial small subunit ribosomal RNA", at positions 342 to 793 of the family's 1533-position model. The record is from RNAcentral.
AUGGAGGCAGCAGUGAGGAAUCUUGGUCAAUGGGCGCAAGCCUGAACCAGCGACGCCGCGUGAGUGAUGAAGGCCUUCGGGUUGUAAAGCUCUGUGGGGAGGGACGAAAGACUGAGGUCUAAUAGGCUUCAGGUUGACGGUACCUCCUUAGCAAGCACCGGCUAACUCUGUGCCAGCAGCCGCGGUAAGACAGAGGGUGCAAACGUUGCUCGGAAUCACUGGGCGUAAAGGGCGUGUAGGCGGGAAGAUAAGUCGGGCGUGAAAUCCCCAGGCUCAACCUGGGAACUGCACUCGAAACUGUCUUUCUUGAGUGUCGGAGAGGAAAGCGGAAUACCUGGUGUAGAGGUGAAAUUCGUAGAUAUCAGGUGGAACACCAGUGGCGAAGGCGGCUUUCUGGACGAUAACUGACGCUGAGACGCGAAAGCGUGGGGAGCAAACAGGAUUAGAUACCCUAGUAC